UUUGUGACAUACCUAUAACUGUUGCUUCGGCGGGCAGGGUCUCCGUGACCCUCCCGGCCUCCCGCCCCCGGGCGGGUCGGCGCCCGCCGGAGGAUAACCAAACUCUGAUUUAACGACGUUUCUUCUGAGUGGUACAAGCAAAUAAUCAAAACUUUUAACAACGGAUCUCUUGGUUCUGGCAUCGAUGAAGAACGCAGCGAAAUGCGAUAAGUAAUGUGAAUUGCAGAAUUCAGUGAAUCAUCGAAUCUUUGAACGCACAUUGCGCCCGCCAGCAUUCUGGCGGGCAUGCCUGUUCGAGCGUCAUUUCAACCCUCAAGCUCUGCUUGGUGUUGGGGCCCUACAGCUGAUGUAGGCCCUCAAAGGUAGUGGCGGACCCUCCCGGAGCCUCCUUUGCGUAGUAACUUUACGUCUCGCACUGGGAUCCGGAGGGACUCUUGCCGUAAAACCCCCAAUUUUCCAAAGGUUGACCUCGGAUCAGGUAGGAAUACCCGCUGAACUUAAGCAUAUCAAUAAGCGGAGGAA
This 522-nucleotide ribosomal RNA is filed under the name Colletotrichum gloeosporioides. RNAcentral's name for it is "partial 18S ribosomal RNA". The stretch from base 150 to 303 matches the Rfam family "5.8S ribosomal RNA". Lineage: Eukaryota; Fungi; Ascomycota; Sordariomycetes; Glomerellales; Glomerellaceae. The record is from RNAcentral.